AAGACUAUACUUGAGGGACAUUUCCAUUGUUACCACAGAAGUCUCCCUGACCUUAUAGAGUACCUGAAAUCACGAGAAGGAGACCCAGAAUUCUUUCCUGAGCAUGAAGCCACUGUUGACAUCACUUUGUCACAAUGGCUAUGUGCCAUUGAUGACUGUCCUUUUCUUCCUAUAGGGGAGAGGAAUAAUAAGAAGAAAAACAACAAGAAGAAGUAAU
Small nucleolar RNA from Arvicanthis niloticus (Nile rat), 217 nucleotides. RefSeq annotates it as small nucleolar RNA U3. Lineage: Eukaryota; Metazoa; Chordata; Mammalia; Rodentia; Muridae. The record is from RefSeq and is a predicted model, not a curated record.